AUCAUAAACAGGCCGAAGCUUCCACAAGAGGCAUGGGGGACCCAAUCUUUGGGGUGAAGCCUAUUCAUGGCCGGGCGCUUGCUCUUUGACCCGAACCCGUCAGCUAACCUCGUAGGCCUUAAAAAAGAGAGGA
Molecule: small RNA, 133 nt
Filed under: Paenibacillus sp.
Lineage: Bacteria; Bacillati; Bacillota; Bacilli; Caryophanales; Paenibacillaceae
Also listed under: 1 other name
Description: c-di-AMP sequence
Rfam family: c-di-AMP riboswitch aptamer (ydaO/yuaA leader)
About the family: This family represents a conserved RNA structure found upstream of the ydaO and yuaA genes in Bacillus subtilis and related genes in other bacteria. The ydaO/yuaA element is thought to act as a genetic "off" switch for the ydaO and yuaA genes in its native state.
Source: RNAcentral